Molecule: long non-coding RNA, 549 nt
Filed under: Strongylocentrotus purpuratus (purple sea urchin)
Lineage: Eukaryota; Metazoa; Echinodermata; Echinoidea; Camarodonta; Strongylocentrotidae
Description: uncharacterized LOC115928348
Source: RNAcentral
UCUUCAGGCGAACAUUGACAUCGAAGUGAUACCCUAUGAUAUCAAGAAAAAUCCUAUGGAACAAAGAAGCAGAUAAUGAUCACAGAAGUGCAACAAAGAGCACCAGGACCUGAUCAUCAAAUGUUAUGGUGUAGAUCUAAUCAGGAACAAGACACCUAAGUUGAACUCUGGCAAGGUUGUCCAGAAGAUUUGAUACCCAGGCUUCUUUUGUACAAGUCCCUAGUCCACCCUCAUCUUGAGAACUGUUCCGGUGUCUGGGAUCCCUACAACAUCUCAGAUGUCCAGGACGCUUCUUCACAAUGGGGACCACAAGAGAAGCAGCAGUUUGACUGAGAUGAUCAGCACCUUUUAGUUGCCUACUAUAUCUACAACUACAAGGCACUCUGCAGGAAGACUGGGAAUGGUGCGCAAGAUAGUCAAUGGUCUCUCCGCUCUUCCUUGAAAAUUUUCCCACUGCACUACUUAUAGCUAUUUGCGCCCUCUAUAUAGCAAACAAUGCCUAAUCUGUGCCUGUUGGUCCCCCAUGAUCCUCUUUUUCUUAUAUUAAUU